UCCGGUAUGGUGUAACGGCUAACAUUGCCGCCUUUCAUUCCAUCUCGCAUUCCAUUUCGCGGCAGCUCGGGGUUCGAUUCCCCGUACCGGAA
Transfer RNA from Termitomyces sp. J132, 92 nucleotides. It matches the Rfam family "tRNA". From Rfam's summary of the family: Transfer RNA (tRNA) molecules are approximately 80 nucleotides in length. Their secondary structure includes four short double-helical elements and three loops (D, anti-codon, and T loops). The record is from Rfam. NCBI's taxonomy places the organism in Eukaryota, Fungi, Basidiomycota, Agaricomycetes, Agaricales, Lyophyllaceae.